AUGGGCCUUAGCCCAUCAUUCCUCCAUCGCAGGCCGCAGUAUAUAAAUGGCGAUCCUCCCUUCCACGCCGCCCCCUCCCACCUAGGGUUUCAGUUAUGCGCCGCCGCCUCCUGCCGUGCGCCCAUCUCCCCCCUCUCGCCGCCGCAAUCGCCGUCGGAUGCCUCGAAUGAGGAUCCAGUGCUGCUUGCGAGUAGGCGACCAAAUAAGCAGCUCCCCCUUUGGGAGCCGCAGUCCCCAAUCGAAGCAGCAAGAGCAGCAGCUUUUUUGGGAGCGGCGAUCCGCAAUCAAGCGGCCCUUCUCCGAGCUGCAACCGGCAAUCCAAGCAAUCAAGCGGCUCCUCUCUGA
RNAcentral lists this ribosomal RNA (345 nucleotides) under Triticum aestivum (bread wheat). Its description in RNAcentral is "partial small subunit ribosomal RNA". The record is from RNAcentral. Lineage: Eukaryota; Viridiplantae; Streptophyta; Magnoliopsida; Poales; Poaceae.